AUUCAAUACUGCUCUCUGGCUAAUGGCGGCCGGCUUUCCUCCUUCCUUCCGCCAUCCUGCUUUUCCCUGGUUGUCGCUGGGAGCCGAGAGGCAGCCCCGGGCCCUAACAGCCUGCCAGGUCUUGGCCGGAGACCGGAGCCAUGUCUGUGUUAUCCCCACUGUAGACAAUCCUUGCUUCCUCUGGACAUCUGGAGCAGGCCCAAUUUGACUGAGAGCCUUCCCCCACUAAGUUACAGAUCCAGCCCCACCAUCACCACCAGAGUUGAGUCCAAAUCCAACACUCUAGGCCGGGUAGUGCUGGGACUUUGCCAGCCUCCUGCUGAGCCAGCCAGCCUCCUGGGUCGAGAGCCAAGCCAAAAGAUGUCUGAGAGAAGAAACCUGGGGUCCUGCAAAGGUAAGUGGGUCCCAGCCCACUCUCAAUCCCCCUCUCUCUGUGUGAUUGCUAUUCCACACUGGAGUCACCUGCUCUGUGCUUCUGAGGAACCUCACCUCUGGCACAUCAAUGGAAAUUGUCCUUCCCUUUUUAUUUAUUUUUAUUUAUUUUUUAUUUUUUGCCACCCUCACUGGCCACUAAGAGAUAGCCCUAGCUCCUCCUCUCCUGCCUGGUUUUGACAGGACUCACUCCAUUGAGUCCUGUCUCGUCUCUUUGCAGCCCUCCUCCUCCCCCCCCCCCCCCUUCAGCCAGCACUUAGGCCCUCCCUGAUUUAGCCCGUUACCUUGACAACCACUUGGGCCUGUCUCCCUCAUCACCACUGAAAACCUGAAGGUGGUUUUCCAGCUGCGGUACAUUUGCCCAAGUUGGGCACCCCUCCAGCUUCUAUUGGCUCGCCCUCUAUACAGCUGUACCCAAUAUAACAAACACAACCUUCCUGGCCCCUCAGCUGUAGUCUCGAAAUUGAUCUCACUGGUCCCGGGAACUCCGUCAAUACUGCCUCCUCUAGACUGAGCUCCUCACAGGCAGGAACAUGGUUGUUUCUCAAUAAACAAGUUGCAAAAAAA
Molecule: long non-coding RNA, 999 nt
Filed under: Mus musculus (house mouse)
Lineage: Eukaryota; Metazoa; Chordata; Mammalia; Rodentia; Muridae
Description: expressed sequence AI480526
Source: RNAcentral